Molecule: long non-coding RNA, 761 nt
Organism: Manacus vitellinus (golden-collared manakin)
Lineage: Eukaryota; Metazoa; Chordata; Aves; Passeriformes; Pipridae
Source: Ensembl
CAGCGUCUAAGCAGUGCUUCUGGGGAUCAUCCUGGCACCUCUGGUGCCGUGCUGAGAAACUUAGGCAGGUGCAGCUCUCUCGGCACCCAGCCAACUUCGGCCUCGUUACUGUGGCCGCUUAGCACGUGGCUGCCCACGGCUGUAGGGCUCACUCUUCUGCCGGCAGCCAUGGCAAGCCGUCCUGGAGAGAGGUAAGUGUUCGUGUCCCAGAGACUGCAACUCCCAGCCUUGCAGUUAAGCUCAAAGCCGCCGGGGCACGGCUAGGAAAGCCCAGCUAUGCAGGGCCCUAGGGGUGGCGGCGCUCUCCUCGCCCGAUGCCCCCCGCCCCGUUCCCAAGCGGACCAAUCUUCCGAGCGGGGCAGCCAGGCUGCCGCGGGGAGAUGGCGCCAGGUAGGGAGCCCGAGGACGGGGCCGGUGUUGUUGUCGCCGCAGGGCGAGGGCAGAAGGGCACGGCACGGCACGGCUGCUCCGCGCGCCCCCGCCCCAAGGCGGGAGUGGUGGUACGCGCCUCUUCCCCGCCUCCUCCCCAGCCUUGAACGAGGCGCUGGACGCUUUUCCCGGCGGGAGGAAGCGCACGAAAUAAAAACAAGUGUGUCCGCGCUGAGGGAGGGGGAUUUCUGCAUCCCCUCACCGACCGAGCCGCUGUGCCCUGUUGCGGAGCCGGGAAAGCGAGGCUGACAACAGGUUGUCUGGAGAGUUGGCUGGUGGACAAACUGAGAUGCAUGUGCAGUGGAGAAAUGAAGGUGCUGAAACAAAAAUCC